UUAUCGGAGAGUUUGAUCCUGGCUCAGGACGAACGCUGGCGGCGUGCCUAAUACAUGCAAGUCGAGCGGAC
Molecule: ribosomal RNA, 71 nt
Filed under: Bacillus amyloliquefaciens
Lineage: Bacteria; Bacillati; Bacillota; Bacilli; Caryophanales; Bacillaceae
Also listed under: 11 other names
Description: partial 16S ribosomal RNA
Rfam family: Bacterial small subunit ribosomal RNA
Source: RNAcentral